Molecule: long non-coding RNA, 287 nt
Organism: Zingiber officinale
Lineage: Eukaryota; Viridiplantae; Streptophyta; Magnoliopsida; Zingiberales; Zingiberaceae
Exons: 3
Source: RefSeq, a predicted model, not a curated record
CGAUGGUAUGGACGCGAAAGAAUGUGGUGGUCAGACUAUGCAAUUGAGAUUGGCAGGAUUUGUGUGUUGGGCUUCUUAGAUGCGCUACAUAUACAACUUAAAGGCUUUGAUCAUUAAGUCCAUGAUGCUUCCUUCCAACAUGUUGAUAACCAUGCUAAUUGAAGGUCUAUUUUCUGGCUUUAUCUGUAUGCACCAUAAACCCACUAUCAUCAUCUUUUUUGCAAUUUCUUUAGUCUUAGGAUUAGCAUCAGUCUCAGGACUAACAAGACUAGUAUCAGGAGUGACCA